Molecule: transfer RNA, 72 nt
Filed under: Candidatus Roizmanbacteria bacterium CG_4_10_14_0_2_um_filter_39_13
Lineage: Bacteria; Candidatus Roizmaniibacteriota
Description: tRNA-Val
Rfam family: tRNA
About the family: Transfer RNA (tRNA) molecules are approximately 80 nucleotides in length. Their secondary structure includes four short double-helical elements and three loops (D, anti-codon, and T loops).
Source: RNAcentral
GAGCCCGUGGCUCAGUGGUAGAGCGUUCGAUUCACAUUCGAAAGGUCGGUGGUUCAAAUCCACCCGGGCUCA